UAUAGAGAAGUUCUACUAUGUUUCCGUAGGUGAACCUGCGGAAGGAUCAUUGUACACACAAUAAAGCAAACCAGUGAACUGUGUCGUCCCUCGAGGGAUCGCACCCGGAGGUGCGAUCGCCGACGGCUUGCUGGCCCCCCCUCGGGGGGGCCUUCACAGGUGCCGAGUGGUUUAUGGCACGUCGUCGGCCGGGGCUCUCCUCGGUACUCCUCGAUUCUCGAGGGGCCAUCCCCGUUGGAAGGGAUGGCGUCUCAAGGCUCGGGGCGGGAGUCCCCCUCCCCCGCUUGCCCCAACGUCCCCUUCGGGCGGGCGUUUGGGGCACCCGGGGCCGCGUUUUCCACAACAACGAUGAGCAACUACACAUUGUGAGACUGAGCUUCUGGCCCCCCAGCGGGGCCAAAAUCGAGAAUCGAAAAACGACUCUCAGCAACGGAUAUCUUGGCUCUUGCAACGAUGAAGAACGCAGCGAAAUGCGAUACCUAGUGUGAAUUGCAGAAUUCCGCGAAUCAUCGAGUCUUUGAACGCAAGUUGCGCCCGAGGCUUGUCCCGAGGGCAUGCCUGCCUGAGCGUCACCGCAAUCCCACCGGGGUCUACUCCCCGAGUGAAACUGGCCGUCCGUGGUCCGGCGUCGAAGCCUGUGGCCGCGGUCGGCUGAAAUGGAGCGUUCUGGACGUAGCCGAAACCGGGAGGCCGCGAGAAGGUGAUUCGCCCAGCAUACCGGGCGGAGUCUAUUUGACAGCGCCUCCCGUUUCGGAGUUCCACUGAACCGGUCGCAGGACUCACACGACAGUGAGGUGUCCCAGCUUGGACCUCAGAUCAGGCAAGAUUACCCGCUGAGUAUAAGCAUAUCAUAAGCCCGAGAGAC
Molecule: ribosomal RNA, 865 nt
Filed under: Fossombronia densa
Lineage: Eukaryota; Viridiplantae; Streptophyta; Jungermanniopsida; Fossombroniales; Fossombroniaceae
Description: eukaryotic LSU rRNA
Rfam family: 5.8S ribosomal RNA (bases 419-572)
Source: RNAcentral